Molecule: unclassified non-coding RNA, 752 nt
Filed under: Hevea brasiliensis (rubber tree)
Lineage: Eukaryota; Viridiplantae; Streptophyta; Magnoliopsida; Malpighiales; Euphorbiaceae
Source: RNAcentral
AAGACUGUUAGAAAAGCAUUAGAACAUCCAGGGUGGCAAAAUGCCAUGAUAGAGAAAUGACUGCUCUUCAUACUAAUGGUACUAGGGAAUUGGUUUCAUUGCCACAAGGUAAAUUUGCUGUUGGGUGCUAGUGGGUUUAUACUCUGAAAAUAGGUCCAGAUGGGAGGGUGGAUUGAUUGAAAGCUUGUCUUGUUGCCAAAAGCUACACUCCGAUUUAUGAGCUUGAUUAUGGUGAUACGUUCCCUCAGGUAGCUAAAAUUACAUUAGUUCGACUACUUAUCUCUUUGACAGCAAUGCAUCACUGGACACUUCAUCAACUAGAUUUUAAAUAUGCCUUUUGCAUGAUGAAUUGAUUGAGGAAGUAUAUAUGGAGCAAUCUCUAGGAUUUGUUGCUUAAGGGGAGUUUGGCUUAAUAUGCCGUCUACGACGUGUGCUAUAUGGUUUGAAACAGUCUCCAAGAGUGUGGUUUGGAUGGUUAAGUACUGUUGUUCUGCAGUUUGGAAUGACUCGAAGUGGAGCUGAUCAUUCAUUAUUCUUUCGCUAUGGUAAUCAUGGUAAAUGUAUUUAUUUGGUAGUCUAUGUUGAUGACCUUGUCAUAACAGGAAAUAACCAUGAUGGAAUUACUCAGCUUAAACAAAAUUUGUUCGAUCAUUUUCAAACUAAAUAUCAGGGAAAAUUAAAGUAUUUUUUGGGAAUUGAGAUAGCACAGUCCACAUCGGGAAUUACUAUUGCCCAAAGGAAAUAUGUUUUGG